RNAcentral lists this ribosomal RNA (253 nucleotides) under uncultured bacterium. RNAcentral describes it as "partial 16S ribosomal RNA". It matches the Rfam family "Bacterial small subunit ribosomal RNA", at positions 524 to 776 of the family's 1533-position model. The record is from RNAcentral.
UACGUAGGGUGCGAGCGUUGUCCGGAAUUAUUGGGCGUAAAGGGCUCGUAGGCGGUUUGUCGCGUCGGGAGUGAAAACCUCGGGCUUAACUCGGGGCUUGCUUUCGAUACGGGCAGACUAGAGGUAUGCAGGGGAGAACGGAAUUCCUGGUGUAGCGGUGAAAUGCGCAGAUAUCAGGAGGAACACCGGUGGCGAAGGCGGUUCUCUGGGCCGUAACUGACGCUGAGGAGCGAAAGCAUGGGGAGCGAACAGG